UAGUCCACGCCGUAAACGAUGAUCACUAGUUGCUGGCGAUACACAGUCAGUGACCGAGCGAAAGUAUUAAGUGAUCCACCUGGGGAGUACGAUCGCAAGAUUGAAACUCAAAGGAAUUGACGGGGGCCCGCACAAGCGGAGGAACAUGUGGUUUAAUUCGAUGAUACGCGAGGAACCUUACCUGGACUUAAAUGUACGUUGCAUAGGUCAGAGAUGAUCUUUUCUUCGGACUACGUACAAGGUGCUGCAUGGUUGUCGUCAGCUCGUGCCGUGAGGUGUCGGGUUAAGUCCCAUAACGAGCGCAACCCCUAUCUUUAGUUGCUAACAGGUCAUGCUGAGGACUCUAGAGAGACUGCCACCGUAAGGUGUGAGGAAGGUGGGGAUGACGUCAAAUCAGCACGGCCCUUAUGUCCAGGGCUACACACGUGUUACAAUGGUCGGUACAAAGGGCAGCUACUUGGUGACAAGAUGCUAAUCCUCAAAGCCGAUCUC
Molecule: ribosomal RNA, 492 nt
Filed under: uncultured bacterium
Lineage: Bacteria
Description: bacterial SSU rRNA
Rfam family: Bacterial small subunit ribosomal RNA
Source: RNAcentral